CAAUAUAAUAUACAUUGUUUUUUUAGACUCUUCAAAAUAAAAGAUUCAGCUAAUAUUAGUGCACAAAAAUUGACAAAAAUGUUUAAACCAAAGUCAGCAAAUUGAAUUGCAACAUGAAUUUGUGAGAAAGAAAGCUGUCGAGUUUUCAUCAAAUCAUUGUGGGGUGGAGCAGAGUCCUGUUUGGUGGGUCAGAGGAAAGGGGACGGUUGCUUUCAGCUACAUUACACAGACUUCAAAGAUUCAUAUCACCACCGCUCUCGAGACUGAUCAUGAAUACAGAUUUUGGAAAACAGCUUAAAAUGAAAUACUGUAAGAUAUUUCUCUUUCUUCUAUUAAUUAUCAUGGAUGUCUCAACAAAUGCUCAAGAAGUUAGCUGUGAGAGUGAACAGCUCAUCA
This is a long non-coding RNA of Sinocyclocheilus grahami, 396 nucleotides long. RefSeq lists it as uncharacterized. The record is from RefSeq and is a predicted model, not a curated record. The transcript has 3 exons. Lineage: Eukaryota; Metazoa; Chordata; Actinopteri; Cypriniformes; Cyprinidae.